CCAAUUUAAUCCAAAUCUCAACCCAUGUGCACGAUGAUUGUUUGUCUUUGGGGUGACGUUUGUUCGUGAGUACACCUUGCGUGUCUGUAAUGAGUAAAUAGUUCACCCCGCCAUUGUUAACAAAAUCCUUUUUGUAUUUACAUGGCAUCCUGUCUUGCUUAAUAAUAAAGUAUGA
This 175-nucleotide unclassified non-coding RNA is filed under the name uncultured fungus. RNAcentral's name for it is "sequence contains ITS1, 5.8S rRNA gene". The record is from RNAcentral. Lineage: Eukaryota; Fungi.